CCGGCGACCGGCGCACGGGUGAGUAACGCGUAUGCAACCUGCCCGUUUCAGCGGGAUAACCCGGAGAAAUCCGGCCUAAUACCGCAUGUGGCCGAGGGGAGGCAUCUUCUUUCGGCCAAAGGAGGUGACUCCGGAGACGGAUGGGCAUGCGUGACAUUAGCUAGACGGCGGGGUAACGGCCCACCGUGGCGACGAUGCGUAGGGGUUCUGAGAGGAAGGUCCCCCACACUGGUACUGAGACACGGACCAGACUCCUACGGAAGGCAGCAG
This 270-nucleotide ribosomal RNA is filed under the name uncultured bacterium. RNAcentral describes it as "partial 16S ribosomal RNA". It matches the Rfam family "Bacterial small subunit ribosomal RNA", at positions 88 to 354 of the family's 1533-position model. The record is from RNAcentral.